UCGAGAGGUCCACCAACCUUGACUGGUACAAGGGCCCCACCCUCCUUGAUGCUCUUGACCAGAUCAGUGAGCCCAAGAGACCCACAGACAAGCCUCUCCGUCUUCCACUUCAGGAUGUCUACAAGAUUGGUGGUAUUGGAACUGUACCUGUGGGACGUGUUGAGACUGGUGUCCUGAAGCCUGGUAUGGUCGUGACCUUCGGCCCCACUGGACUGACCACUGAAGUUAAAUCUGUUGAGAUGCACCAUGAAGCUCUUCAGGAGGCCCUUCCAGGUGACAAUGUUGGUUUCA
This 291-nucleotide long non-coding RNA is filed under the name Populus trichocarpa (black cottonwood). RNAcentral's name for it is "long non-coding RNA (PTRI_LNC001751)". Lineage: Eukaryota; Viridiplantae; Streptophyta; Magnoliopsida; Malpighiales; Salicaceae. The record is from RNAcentral.